AGCGAAUGGAUUAAGAGCUUGCUCUUAUGAAGUUAGCGGCGGACGGGUGAGUAACACGUGGGUAACCUGCCCAUAAGACUGGGAUAACUCCGGGAAACCGGGGCUAAUACCGGAUAACAUUUUGAACCGCAUGGUUCGAAAUUGAAAGGCGGCUUCGGCUGUCACUUAUGGAUGGACCCGCGUCGCAUUAGCUAGUUGGUGAGGUAACGGCUCACCAAGGCAACGAUGCGUAGCCGACCUGAGAGGGUGAUCGGCCACACUGGGACUGAGACACGGCCCAGACUCCUACGGGAGGCAGCAGUAGGGAAUCUUCCGCAAUGGACGAAAGUCUGACGGAGCAACGCCGCGUGAGUGAUGAAGGCUUUCGGGUCGUAAAACUCUGUUGUUAGGGAAGAACAAGUGCUAGUUGAAUAAGCUGGCACCUUGACGGUACCUAACCAGAAAGCCACGGCUAACUACGUGCCAGCAGCCGCGGUAAUACGUAGGUGGCAAGCGUUAUCCGGAAUUAUUGGGCGUAAAGCGCGCGCAGGUGGUUUCUUAAGUCUGAUGUGAAAGCCCACGGCUCAACCGUGGAGGGUCAUUGGAAACUGGGAGACUUGAGUGCAGAAGAGGAAAGUGGAAUUCCAUGUGUAGCGGUGAAAUGCGUAGAGAUAUGGAGGAACACCAGUGGCGAAGGCGACUUUCUGGUCUGUAACUGACACUGAGGCGCGAAAUUUCGUGACUAUAUCU
This 729-nucleotide ribosomal RNA is filed under the name Bacillus cereus. RNAcentral describes it as "bacterial SSU rRNA". It matches the Rfam family "Bacterial small subunit ribosomal RNA", at positions 65 to 774 of the family's 1533-position model. Lineage: Bacteria; Bacillati; Bacillota; Bacilli; Caryophanales; Bacillaceae. The record is from RNAcentral.